RNAcentral lists this ribosomal RNA (1703 nucleotides) under marine metagenome. RNAcentral's name for it is "bacterial LSU rRNA". It matches the Rfam family "Bacterial large subunit ribosomal RNA", at positions 220 to 1977 of the family's 2925-position model. The record is from RNAcentral.
AGAAAACAAAAGUGAUUCCGCUAGUAGUGGCGAGCGAACGCGGAAUAGCCCAAACCAUUAUUGUUACGGCAAUACUGGGGUUGUAGGACUGCGAUAUUGGUUGUGUAAUGAAUUAGAAUCCUUUGGAAAGAGGAACCAUAGAGGGUGAUAGUCCCGUAUAAGUAAAGAUCAUUAACCAUAGCAGUAUCCUGAGUAGUGCGGGACACGUGUAAUCCUGUAUGAAUUUGGCGGGACCAUCCGCUAAGGCUAAAUACUCCUGAGAGACCGAUAGUGAACUAGUACCGUGAGGGAAAGGUGAAAAGAACCCUGAAUAAGGGAGUGAAAUAGAUCCUGAAACCAUACGCUUACAAGCGGUCGGAGCCCUUUAGGGUGACGGCGUGCCUUUUGCAUAAUGAGCCUACGAGUUAACGUUGCUAGCAAGGUUAAGUACUUAAGGUACGAAGCCGUAGCGAAAGCGAGUCUGAAUAGGGCGCUUUAGUUAGCAGUGUUAGACGCGAAACCGUGUGAUCUACCCAUGGGCAGGGUGAAGCUGUAGUAACAUACAGUGGAGGCCCGAACCCGUUGACGUUGAAAAGUCUUGGGAUGACCUGUGGGUAGGGGUGAAAGGCCAAUCAAACUCGGAAAUAGCUCGUACUCCCCGAAAUGCAUUUAGGUGCAGCGUUGUAAAAGUUCUAUAGAGGUAGAGCUACUGAUUGGAUGCGGGGGCUUCACCGCCUACCAAUUCCUGACAAACUCCGAAUGCUAUAAAAUGUUACUCAGCAGUGAGGGCAUGGGUGCUAAGGUCCAUGUCCGAGAGGGAAAGAACCCAGACCAUCAGCUAAGGUCCCCAAAUAUAUGUUAAGUUGAAAAAACGAGGUUUGUCUGCCCAGACAGCUAGGAUGUUGGCUUGGAAGCAGCCAUUCAUUUAAAGAGUGCGUAACAGCUCACUAGUCGAGCGAUCGAGCAUGGAUAAUAAUCGGGCAUAAGUAUAUUACCGAAGCUAUGGAUUUGCAGUUUACUGCAAGUGGUAGGGGAGCAUUGUAGCGGCGCCGAAGGUGUUUUGUAAGAAAUGCUGGAGCGGCUACAAAAGAAAAUGUAGGCAUAAGUAACGAUAAGGCGGGUGAGAAACCCGCCCACCGAAAAACCAAGGUUUCCUCAGCGAUGCUAAUCAGCUGAGGGUUAGUCGGGACCUAAGGCGUACCCGAAAGGGAAAGUCGAUGGACAACAGGUUAAUAUUCCUGUACCUGCUCACGUUAAAAGUGACGGAGUGGAGUAGUUGGUGCGUACUGACAGAAUAGUACGUUGAAGCGAGUAGCAAUACCGCGAUAGUACACAGAGACUUCGGUCAAAGUGACAAUCCAGCGAACCCACUUCCAAGAAAAGCGAGUGAAGCAGCCCGUACCCCAAACCGACACAGGUGGUUGGGAAGAGAAUUCUAAGGUGCUCGAGUGAUUCAUGGCUAAGGAACUAGGCAAAAUCGCCCCGUAACUUCGGGAGAAGGGGCGCCCAUCUUCGAGAUGGGCCGCAGUGAAUAGGUCCAGGCGACUGUUUAUCAAAAACACAGGGCUCUGCUAAAUCGAAAGAUGAUGUAUAGGGCCUGACACCUGCCCGGUGCUGGAAGGUUAAGUGGAGGAGUUAGCCUUUGGCGAAGCUCUCAAAUGAAGCCCCAGUAAACGGCGGCCGUAACUAUAACGGUCCUAAGGUAGCGAAAUUCCUUGUCGGGU